Molecule: ribosomal RNA, 526 nt
Filed under: Yarrowia lipolytica
Lineage: Eukaryota; Fungi; Ascomycota; Dipodascomycetes; Dipodascales
Description: eukaryotic LSU rRNA
Rfam family: Eukaryotic large subunit ribosomal RNA
Source: RNAcentral
GCUGAGGAAAAGAAACCAACAGGGAUUGCCUCAGUAACGGCGAGUGAAGCGGCAAAAGCUCAAAUUUGAAACCCUCGGGAUUGUAAUUUGAAGAUUUGGCAUUGGAGAAAGCUAACCCAAGUUGCUUGGAAUAGUACGUCAUAGAGGGUGACAACCCCGUCUGGCUAACCGUUCUCCAUGUAUUGCCUUAUCAAAGAGUCGAGUUGUUUGGGAAUGCAGCUCAAAGUGGGUGGUAAACUCCAUCUAAAGCUAAAUACUGGUGAGAGACCGAUAGCGAACAAGUACUGUGAAGGAAAGGUGAAAAGAACUUUGAAAAGAGAGUGAAAUAGUAUGUGAAAUUGUUGAUAGGGAAGGAAAUGAGUGGAGAGUGGCCGAGGUUUCAGCCGCCCCUCGUGGGCGGUGUACUGCCGACGCCGAGUCAUCGAUAGCGAGACGAGGGUUACAAAUGGGAGCGCCUUUCGGGCGUUCUCCCCUAACCCUCCACACUGCCACCGACGACAUAAUCCACCCAUUUCACCCGUCUUGA